Long non-coding RNA from Ylistrum balloti, 1431 nucleotides. RefSeq lists it as uncharacterized. The record is from RefSeq and is a predicted model, not a curated record. Lineage: Eukaryota; Metazoa; Mollusca; Bivalvia; Pectinida; Pectinidae. The transcript has 2 exons.
ACAACAACAUAACCGCCUGUAGUGUAAAGACAACAAAAUAGCCGUCUGUUGUGUAAAGACAACAAAAUAGCCGUCGGUAGUGUAAAGACAACAAAAUAACCGCCUGUAGUGUAAAGACAACAACAUAACCGUCUGUAGUGUAAAGACAACAAAAUAAUCGUCUGUUGUGUAAACACAACAAAAUAACCGUCGGUAGUGUAAAGACAACAAAAUAACCGUCUGUUGUGUAAACACAACAAAAUAGCCGUCGGUAGUGUAAACACAACAAAAUAACCGUCUGUUGUGUAAACACAACAAAAUAACCAUCUUGUGAAGAAUAUGAUAGUCUGUAUCUGUGAGUCGUUGAAUGUGAUAUUCCUGGCGGCUAGAACUAUUCUACUAAACAUAGGGCAUCUAAUAAGUGCAUUUAAUUUAGUUUCUCAUGAUGAAGUUAUAACAAGUUUUAUUAUUAGUACAGAUUUAGUUCAUCCUUCAGAAGUGGUUUUGUGAGAGAGUCCAUGUAAUCAAUUUUGAUAAUUUUGAAAUAAUCCUGAAAGUGAUAUGUGAUUGUUAUCUGUGCCCAGUCAACUGUGAAGGAUUAACAUGGUUUAAUAACUGGAACAGAAUGUCAGCUAGUUACAGUAUGAUCACAAAGAAAUUUCUGAUAUUACAGUAGACGAUAUUACACAUUUGAUACAGCAGUUAACAUAAAUAAGUAUUAACAUCACAGUUUAACUUUUCACAAAAUUCAGUAUGAAAAUGAUUUGGAAUUUUAAUCAAAGUCCCAGAUGAUUUUGUGAAACAUAUUGUUUUCGGUAUAUAUAAAGUUGUAUUAAUGAAUUAUUUGUGUAUGCGCUUUUAUAAUAACCAUUUUUGCGAUUUAUUUUUGUGUACUUACUUUGAAAAGUAAUUAAUGUUCGUACAUUUGGUAUAUUGACAUCGUGAACCAGUUUGGUGCUAGGUAAAAGAAAAAUAGUUUUCUUUUUUUAAUUCCUAACUUUUUUCGUCAUUUAAAGUCGUUCUUGCCUCUGAAAUAGCCUGGCUGUAUCAGGAUAAACUGUUUCGAAUCAGAAUUUAUUUGCAAAGUGGGGAAACAAAGAAAUACUUAAUGAAAUGUCAUGAUUUGAUGCAGAAAUUUCUGAGAAGUUCUAUUUUGAUAUAAACUGAUCAUGUUUGACCAGAUACUAAUGUUCAGUUAUCUAAUAGACUUUACUGUUUGGAUAUAGCAUGUUGAGUUUGAUUUCACAAAUUAAUCCGUAAGGAUAUCAGUUGUAUAAAUAUAUUUGUAUUCUUAAUCAUUUUUGUGAAUUUACAAACUACAUCGUACUCGAAGUGUGGGUAAAUUUCAGUAAGUGUGAGUGAAGUGAAACUGUCAUUGUUAGCAUUAACGUAACUAUGUAGUCAGUAAAACGUUUGUUUUGAUGAAAACUACAUUAAAUCAUUAUCACUCUG